CAGGUGGAGGGGGCGGGCAAAGAUUCCCAAAGAUGAAGGUGGUGAAGAGUAGACAGCAAAGUCACACACCAGAAGACAGCUGGACGAGAACAAGGUCAGGCAACCGAAGGCUUAAAGAUUGCAUCUAUCCAGUUACCAGAUCAAAAACAUCCAGGAACCAGUGGGGGCUUUUCACCUUAAUUAGAGAGCACACUGUAGAGAAGACACAGCAAAGGGCCUCAGGUCAGAGCUGAACCCGGCUGCUGCAUUCAGCCUCGAGGCAUGUAGUCACCGGUGCAACCUGCAUGCUACAUCAGCACCCAGUGCUUUACUAUAUUAUUUCAUAAGGUAUUAAACCAAAAAUUGCGCUGCAUCUAUCAUGUUAAAAUCUAGCUUCAAGAUAUAGACUCGAAUCUUAUAACUUGAAUUUGUACAGUUGUACAAAUAACUCUCAACAACCUGAGGUGACAGCGAGUGGCCAACGCAGACUACCGUCCACAGUGUUUUAUCUGUUGUGUGAAAAAUCAGAUGUGUCACGCCUCAUUACGCCGCCUAGUCAAAUGCAACUGACCCGCAUGGUGUUUAAGAGAGAAAAAGAAGAAGCCUCCUCAGAGAAGUGGGAGGAAGAAUCAAGAUAAAGCCAUGAUGGGAAGUGAUUAUGCUGAAGACGGCUCACUGCCGCAUUGUUUACCCUCUUCAAUUAGAUUACGUCUCUUGCUUCGUUCAGCUCUCGGUUUAUAUGUGUGAAAUUGAUUGAUUGUAGGUGGGAGGAUGGAGGUAAUGAUGCCUGGAGACGGAUGAAGUGUUAAAAAAGCAAAAAACCUUUAUUUUUCUCUUCUUACAAAUAAUAUAUCAUGAAUG
Long non-coding RNA from Oreochromis niloticus (Nile tilapia), 840 nucleotides. RefSeq lists it as uncharacterized. The transcript is spliced from 4 exons. The record is from RefSeq and is a predicted model, not a curated record. Lineage: Eukaryota; Metazoa; Chordata; Actinopteri; Cichliformes; Cichlidae.